GUGGGGAAUAUUGCACAAUGGGCGCAAGCCUGAUGCAGCCAUGCCGCGUGUGUGAAGAAGGCCUUCGGGUUGUAAAGCACUUUCAGCGAGGAGGAAGGGUUCAGUGUUAAUAGCACUGUUCAUUGACGUUACUCGCAGAAGAAGCACCGGCUAACUCCGUGCCAGCAGCCGCGGUAAUACGGAGGGUGCAAGCGUUAAUCGGAAUUACUGGGCGUAAAGCGCACGCAGGCGGUUUGUUAAGUCAGAUGUGAAAUCCCCGCGCUUAACGUGGGAACUGCAUUUGAAACUGGCAAGCUAGAGUCUUGUAGAGGGGGGUAGAAUUCCAGGUGUAGCGGUGAAAUGCGUAGAGAUCUGGAGGAAUACCGGUGGCGAAGGCGGCCCCCUGGACAAAGACUGACGCUCAGGUGCGAAAGCGUGGGGAGCAAACAGG
RNAcentral lists this ribosomal RNA (430 nucleotides) under uncultured bacterium. Its description in RNAcentral is "bacterial SSU rRNA". It matches the Rfam family "Bacterial small subunit ribosomal RNA", at positions 354 to 776 of the family's 1533-position model. The record is from RNAcentral.